Molecule: ribosomal RNA, 468 nt
Filed under: uncultured bacterium
Lineage: Bacteria
Description: partial 16S ribosomal RNA
Rfam family: Bacterial small subunit ribosomal RNA
Source: RNAcentral
GACGAACGCUGGCGGCGUGCUUAACACAUGCAAGUCGAACGGAAAGGCCCUGCUUUUGUGGGGUGCUCGAGUGGCGAACGGGUGAGUAACACGUGAGUAACCUGCCCUUGACUUUGGGAUAACUUCAGGAAACUGGGGCUAAUACCGGAUAGGAGCUCCUGCCGCAUGGUGGGGGUUGGAAAGUUUCGGCGGUUGGGGAUGGACUCGCGGCUUAUCAGCUUGUUGGUGGGGUAGUGGCUUACCAAGGCUUUGACGGGUAGCCGGCCUGAGAGGGUGACCGGCCACAUUGGGACUGAGAUACGGCCCAGACUCCUACGGGAGGCAGAAGUGGGGAAUAUUACACAAUGGGCGGAAGCCUAAUGCAGCACCGCCGCGUGCGGGAUGACGGCCUUCGGGUUGUAAACCGCUUUCGCCUGUGACGAAGCGUGAGUGACGGUAAUGGGUAAAGAAGCACCGGCUAACUACGUG